Molecule: long non-coding RNA, 1788 nt
Organism: Parus major (Great Tit)
Lineage: Eukaryota; Metazoa; Chordata; Aves; Passeriformes; Paridae
Source: Ensembl
AACCAACCACCGACUGUCCCUUUCCUGUCCCGUGCUGGCUGUGGCCUAGAAGGUAGAGAUCCGUCCCCGAAUCCCGGCGUCCUCCCUUUGCCUCCUUUUCAGUUGGUUCUUGGGUUUUUUCCCUCCUCCUUGCUCCACGCUGAACCUGCCCGGCUCUUCCUUGUAGCGGCUGCUGACCACCAACCUUCCUCCCUCUCUCCGACUUCUGGCAACUCCCAACCCUCCCUGGAUGUGCGGACUCGGACACUGCUGCGGACGUGGGAUGGGUGGGAGGGGUGGGACACUCCGGACGCUGCUGGAAUUCCUGCAGCUGGAUGGGCUUGGACACUGGACUGGGCUCUCUGUCCCGUGCAGCUCCGUGGGAUCAUCCCGCACGCACUGGGACCUGCCAAGGGGGUUGGGAGAGGAAUCACUGGGAUAAGGACAUGGGGAAGGUGGGAAGCAGAGCCGGGGAGGGGGUGGGGGUUGGAAAGUCGCAGCCUGGCAGCACGGCUGGAUUGGCAGGAGCCCCGUAAGCAGCUUAGCCUGAGACUGGCAGCGCUUGGGAAGGGGAGAGGCUCCCCCUGUGCUCGCAGCUCCGAGCUGAGACAUCCCCGCGGCUCCGGGAUGCCUCGGGGGGGAUUUCGGGGGGGAUUUUUGGGAGGGUGGGAGGGGCAGAUGUUCUGUGAGGGAGGUGGGGGGGAGCGGGGAAGGCUUGACGUGCUCGGGGGUGUAAAAUGCUUAUACAGCUCUCCAACUCCUUGGAGCCCUGUCAGCCAAAAAGUCCCCUCAUUUUUAUCUUGGGAGCACCACGGGAAUCAUGGGGAUGAGGCUGGAAUGCUCCAGUGGCCAUCAGGCUGCAGCUUCACCCAGGAAAGGGAAUUUUGGCCAUUUUGGUGAUCUCCUGGGAGGUGUCUCCAGCCCCAGCUCUCCAGGCCCUGGGACUGCUCUGCCCCAGUGGCAAUGCAGAAUAAAGGGACAGCCUGGAGUGGCCGUGUGCGCUCGUGCCCAGCUGGCCCAGGACAGGGGAGGUUUGCUGAGGGGGUUCCAAGAGGAGAAGGAAAGAAAGGAAGGAAGGAAGGAACACAAAGCUAUCGGAUCUGCCGUGCUCUGCCCCUCCUGUCCCUGCUGGGCAGCAUCCCAGGGCAGCACAUCCCCACAGCCAGCCCUGGGCAGUGCCCAGCCCCAGCUCUGGCACACUCAGCCUGCAGGGGAGGUGACCCUGAUGUCCCUGUCUGCUGCCUGUGCCUGUCCCUGGUGCUCUGCCAUCCCUGGCACCCACCACCCAUCCCUGGCACCCACCACCCAUCCCUGGCACCCACUACCCAUCCAUGACAUCCACCAUCCGCUCCCAUCAUCCAUCCCUGGCAUCCAUCCCUGGCAUCCAUCCCUGGCACUCACUCUUCAUCCCUGCUCCUGCACCCAUCCCUGCUCCCACCCUCCAUCCCUGNUCCCUCCACCCACCCCAGCCCCUGUGAAGCUCCUGGAGCUGCAGGAUCUCCUCCCUGGCUGGACAGCAUUCAAGGGGCCGUUCCUGCUCGGCAUUCAUGUGGGAGGAAGGUUUGCAGCUGCUUCCUGGAGGGGAGGGAGGGCUUUGGGGCCAGCAGGAGUUUCAAACCAGGUUCUCCCUCUCUCCUGAAGAAGGGGAAGGCAAAAACGGUAUUUUGACAUUUUUCAUGGUCCUGUUCCUCAUUCCAACAACCUCUGGAAGAGGAAAUGACAACUGGCUUAAGAAAAGGCAAGAAAAAGGAACUUGAGCUCUGUGUGCACACAAAGAAAACCUUUAAAUAAAGGGGGAGGGGACCUGCA